AGGUCUUGGUCUUAAACCUCCUAUUAUCUCCACCCCCUAAUUAUACAUGCAAGCCUCCCCACGACAGUGAAAAAACCCACAUAAAUCAACCACGGAGUUGGUAUCAGGCAUACGCCCAUUACACCAAGCAACACAGCCACACCCCCACGGGCCCGCAGCAGUAUCCAAUAUUAGGCCAUAAGCGCACCAUUCUCUUUAAAGCUUGACCUAGCAAGGGGACCUAAGGGCCGGUUAAUCUCGUGCCAGCGACCGCGGUUAUACGACAGACCCAAGAUAAUAGCACCGGCGUAAAGAACGACUAGAUUGUAGUACCACAUAUUAGGGAAAAACCAAACUAGGCCGUAAAAAGCCAUAAGCUUCAUCAACCCACCCACCUAAUACAUUAAACCACUUCAACUCGUGAAAAUAGGAAUACAAACUAAGAUUAGAUACCUUACUAUGCCUAACUUAACACACAUGAAAUCACCAAUUGUUCGCCAAACAACUACGAGUUAAAACUUAAAACUUAAAAGACUUGACGGUACUUCACACCACCCUAGAGGAGCCUGUCUAAUAACCGAUACCCCACGAUUAACCCGACCCACCCUAGCCCAACAGUCUAUAUACCGCCAUCGCCAGCUUACCUUGUGAAAGAAACAAAGUAAACACAACAGCUACCACUAACACGAUAGGUCGAGGUGUAACUAAUGGGUGGGAAAAAGAUGGGCUACAUUUUCUAAUACAGAAAACACGAAUAGACUAUGAAAAUAGAAACCGAAGGCGGAUUUAGCAGUACGUUAAGGACAAAAUGCUUAACCGAAAUAAAUGCAAUGAAGUGCGUACACACCGCCCGUCAUCCCUGUAACCCCCCCAAAAAAAACUACAUAAACACAACAAACCAAUCAAACAGGGCAAGUCGUAACAUGGUAAGCGUACUGGAAAGUGCGCUUA
Molecule: non-coding RNA, 930 nt
Filed under: Nerodia rhombifer
Lineage: Eukaryota; Metazoa; Chordata; Lepidosauria; Squamata; Natricidae
Source: RNAcentral